AUACGUAGGUGGCAAGCGUUGUCCGGAAUUACUGGGUGUAAAGGGCGUGUAGGCGGGGAUGCAAGUCAGAUGUGAAAUUCCGGGGCUCAACCCCGGCACUGCAUCUGAAACUGUGUCUCUUGAGUGCUGGAGAGGAAAGCGGAAUUCCUCGUGUAGCGGUGAAAUGCGUAGAUAUUAGGAGGAACACCAGUGGCGAAGGCGGCUUUCUGGACAGUAACUGACGCUGAGGCGCGAAAGCGUGGGCAGCGAACAGGAUUAGAUACCCUGGUAGUCCACGCUGUAAACGAUGAAUGCUAGGUGUAGGGGGUAUCGACCCCUCCUGUGCCGGAGUAAACACAAUAAGCAUUCCGCCUGGGGAGUACGGCCGCAAGGUUGAAACUCAAAGGAAUUGACGGGG
RNAcentral lists this ribosomal RNA (397 nucleotides) under uncultured bacterium. RNAcentral describes it as "partial 16S ribosomal RNA". It matches the Rfam family "Bacterial small subunit ribosomal RNA", at positions 523 to 918 of the family's 1533-position model. The record is from RNAcentral.